AUUAAUUAUUAUUGGAAACAAUUUCCAGUGAAUUUAAAUCCUCAUGUCUAUGCAGUAGGGCUGCGUCGUGCUCUGGCUCAUUAAUUUAUUAAACAUCAACGGUGAUGCAGUUCUUUGAUCCUCUUAAAAAUUAACCACCUACGCCUGUAUCUUAACCAGUUCUUGAGCCAUGGAAAUAUAACCUCUCUCCUGGACACUUCAGCUCAUCAACAAACCCUUGCCAGCGCCUUUUCCUGAGAAAUUUUCAAAUAUCAUAUGAUUUAUAUGAGAUAAAAUACUUCACUACAAUGCCCCACAGCCCCUAAAACCAGAUGGUCCAGGCAGAGUUCACUGCUGAACUUUGUUCCCCUGGAGAUGGGAGCUUCCCUCCCUGGAAGGAGCCCUUCCAAAAGCCUCCUCCGAGUUGCUAAGAAACAGCUUGUCACUGUGGCAUGGGCUGUAAUCGGUUGUGUACAGAUGCAGAAUGAAAGCCCUUUGGACAGAGAAGCAAUGGCACAAAUUCUGUGAGAAAUCACCUGAAGAUGCUACAUACCCAUGUCCUCUGAGGAGCCCUGGUGGACACAGUGGUGUUGGAGGAGACACUGAAGCAGUCGGUAAAAGUGUGGUAUAAUUUUUCAGGUUUGCAUCUCACCCUUUGACUCCUUCCUCUGUGAGAAGAAACAGAAGGAAGGACAGUUAAAAUAUUUUUUUUUUCCCACAUGGAAGAAGUUAAAUCCCAUGUGGGAAUAUAGAGGGGAACAUAAUGGUUCAAAAUGUGGUGUUGAGAAUGAGGUUGACUCCAUGCAUAAAGCAGAGGCUUCAUGGGGAGGAGAGGGGAGGUGUCUGCU
This is a long non-coding RNA of Neopelma chrysocephalum (saffron-crested tyrant-manakin), 827 nucleotides long. RefSeq lists it as uncharacterized. The record is from RefSeq and is a predicted model, not a curated record. Lineage: Eukaryota; Metazoa; Chordata; Aves; Passeriformes; Pipridae. The transcript has 4 exons.